RNAcentral lists this ribosomal RNA (472 nucleotides) under Peptostreptococcus stomatis. RNAcentral describes it as "bacterial SSU rRNA". It matches the Rfam family "Bacterial small subunit ribosomal RNA", at positions 28 to 485 of the family's 1533-position model. Lineage: Bacteria; Bacillati; Bacillota; Clostridia; Peptostreptococcales; Peptostreptococcaceae. The record is from RNAcentral.
GAUGAACGCUGGCGGCGUGCCUAACACAUGCAAGUCGAGCGAGGGUUUGCUCAGUAUUGAGUAUUCUAAAACUAGAAUGUUCAAUUCUGAGCAAAACCAAGCGGCGGACGGGUGAGUAACGCGUGGGUAACCUGCCCUAUACACAUGGAUAACAUACUGAAAAGUUUACUAAUACAUGAUAAUAUAUAUUUGUGGCAUCGCAGAUAUAUCAAAGUGUUAGCGGUAUAGGAUGGACCCGCGUCUGAUUAGCUAGUUGGUGAGAUAACUGCCCACCAAGGCGACGAUCAGUAGCCGACCUGAGAGGGUGAUCGGCCACAUUGGAACUGAGACACGGUCCAAACUCCUACGGGAGGCAGCAGUGGGGAAUAUUGCACAAUGGGCGAAAGCCUGAUGCAGCAACGCCGCGUGAACGAUGAAGGUCUUCGGAUCGUAAAGUUCUGUUGCAGGGGAAGAUAAUGACGGUACCCUGGAG